GCUGUGGUGGCCGAGUGGUUAAGGUGUUGGAUUAAAAAUCCAAUAGGGUUUCCCUGUGCAGGUUCAAAUCUUGCUCACAGCG
Molecule: transfer RNA, 82 nt
Filed under: Pelodiscus sinensis (Chinese soft-shelled turtle)
Lineage: Eukaryota; Metazoa; Chordata; Testudines; Trionychidae
Rfam family: tRNA
About the family: Transfer RNA (tRNA) molecules are approximately 80 nucleotides in length. Their secondary structure includes four short double-helical elements and three loops (D, anti-codon, and T loops).
Source: Rfam by way of RNAcentral